Long non-coding RNA from Dermochelys coriacea (leatherback sea turtle), 1495 nucleotides. RefSeq lists it as uncharacterized. The transcript is spliced from 2 exons. Lineage: Eukaryota; Metazoa; Chordata; Testudines; Dermochelyidae. The record is from RefSeq and is a predicted model, not a curated record.
UUUAUUAGAGCAUAAGCUUUCGUGAGCUACAGCUCACUUCAUCGGAUGCAUAUAUUAUUUAAUGAGACACAACUUUCUAGUUUUUUACUCAAACUAAUUAAUUGAAUUUGCUGAGAACUAACAAAUCCUUCUGUACACAAAGCAUAAGAGCUAUAAACUUCUGGAGGAUAAUCCCAUGUUUUUAUAAUACAGAGUGAAUCUAUGCUUUAAGUGCAAAACAGAAUUCAGCCUUAACUAUGGAGCUGCAUUUGGCGCUUCCAUACUUUGGUUCUGUAACCAUAUUUUUCUUUGCUAUGAGACUUUCAUAUUUCUAGCAUUGUGCUAAUUUAGCAUGAACUCAGACAUUUUAACCUACUAAUUUAUUCAGAUGUAUGUUAAUGACUUCAAUACUGUUUUUGGGUAAAAAUGUUUUUCGGCCACUAUUCAAGUACCAAAACCAAAACUUACCAGUGUUUCAAGUUUAAUUGAAAACUGUCUCAAUUGUUUCAUGAAAUUUGAUGUUGAGACCAUAUCCUCUUUCUAAAAUCUUCCUGGUUUUUAGAUUUCCUUUAAAGGAAAAUCAAUUAGACUUGUGAAUUUAUGGAUUGAUUAUGUUUGCAGGCAAAAUACACUUCAGUCCGGAAAUCUGUUAAUCUGAAGCAACAACAGUUGCACAACUGGAGGAAGGGGCCACUGAGCCACCUUGCUUGCAUGUGAAGUCACGUUAGGGACAACUGUGACUGCUGUCUCCAAAGCAAAGCAGCAGCAUACCUCAUGAACCUUUGAGUAUUAACAACACUCCUGAUGCCAGAGUUGGCUUUCCUAAUCAGUUCCGUAAAUUACUUCUACCUCAUCUGUCAGCUCUUGUUUCUUCUCUGUGACCCUUCUACUGCCCAUAAGUAAAUUGCUCCUAUGGAGAAUGUCUUUCCAGGACCUUUGCACUUGUACCCUUCUAUUUCCACCCAGAUAAACUUUUUUUUUUUGAGCAUAUCAUUUUUUAUUCCCACGCACAAUGAAGUAUGUGCAUGUGUGUUUUGAUAGAUGUUGAUUCUUGAAUAAAUGGUAACCUUGCAGCAGGUUAGCUUCCAUUGCUGAAGAGAAACUGAUGUCACAGUCAGUCAGAGAGUAAAGUGAGUUCCUAUUUUUUUAACUUAGAUUUACUGUUACAGAAUAUACAUUUCUAACUUCUAAAUUGGCUUUAAUUUCAAAAUGAACGUAUUUCAGUGGUCACAUUCAUUGGAUGCAAUUCAGUGGGAAGUUGUGGGACACUUGAUGAAAUAUAUGGGGUUCUGAUGAACCUCAUCUCUACCAUUUGGACAAAGUGUUGUCUUUUUACUGACUUCUUUAAUAUUAGAGUUUUAAUGACUUGGCCAAAACUUUGUUCAAGUAAUUUUCAUAUUGGUAGCUAGCUAAAUUAGUGUAAACUCAAAUUGGCUAGAUUCUUAUGCAUGUCCUAAACGUGACCAUAUUGUCCCUGUCUUACUGGAACAGUCAUGGCGUCCCAUAUCAUCAUCAU